GGUCUCGCGAAUGCUCUAGAUUAGAGUUGAUCAUGGCUCAGGCUUGGAACACUCUCCUUAAAGUUUGAUCAUGGCUCAGAAGGAGGCUGGAUCACCUCCUUAGAGUUUGAUCAUGGCUCAGGUUGGAUCACCUCCUUAGAGUUUGAUCAUGGCUCAGAGAGUUUGAUCCUGGCUGGAUCACCUCCUCAGAGUUUGAUCAUGGCUCAGAAUGAACGUUGGCGGCGUGGAUUAGGCAUGCAAGUCGAACGGGUCUAGCAAUAGACCAGUGGCGCAAGGGUGAGUAAGGCGACGGUAACCAACCCCAUGGUUGGGUAUAGCCGCGGGAAACUGCGGGUAGUCCCCAGCGACGUAAGAGACCGGCAUCGGUGUUUUACCAAAGCUUCGGCGCCGUGGGACGGGCCAUCGUGGUAUUAGGUAGUUGGCGGGGUAACAGCCCACCAAGCCUGUGAUGCCUACCGGGCGUGCGAGCGUGGCCCGGCACACUGGGACUGAGACACUGCCCAGACUCCUACGGGAGGCUGCAGUCGAGAAUCUUCGGCAAUGGGCGCAAGCCUGACCGAGCGACGCCGCGUGGAGGAUGNAAGGCCUUUCGGGGGUUGUAAACUUCCUGUCCGAAGGGGGGAACGGAAAGGGGCAA
RNAcentral lists this ribosomal RNA (637 nucleotides) under uncultured bacterium. RNAcentral's name for it is "bacterial SSU rRNA". The stretch from base 181 to 637 matches the Rfam family "Bacterial small subunit ribosomal RNA", at positions 1 to 462 of the family's 1533-position model. The record is from RNAcentral.